This 525-nucleotide ribosomal RNA is filed under the name uncultured bacterium. RNAcentral's name for it is "bacterial SSU rRNA". It matches the Rfam family "Bacterial small subunit ribosomal RNA", at positions 355 to 896 of the family's 1533-position model. The record is from RNAcentral.
UGGGGAAUAUUGCACAAUGGGGGAAACCCUGAUGCAGCGACGCCGCGUGAGUGAAGAAGUAUUUCGGUAUGUAAAGCUCUAUCAGCAGGGAAGAAAAUGACGGUACCUGAGUAAGAAGCCCCGGCUAACUACGUGCCAGCAGCCGCGGUAAUACGUAGGGGGCAAGCGUUAUCCGGAUUUACUGGGUGUAAAGGGAGCGCAGACGGCUCUGCAAGUCUGAAGUGAAAGCCCGCGGCUUAACCGCGGGACUGCUUUGGAAACUGCAAGGCUUGAGUAUCGGAGGGGCAGGCGGAAUUCCUAGUGUAGCGGUGAAAUGCGUAGAUAUUAGGAAGAACACCGGUGGCGAAGGCGGCCUGCUGGACGAAAACUGACGUUGAGGCUCGAAGGCGUGGGGAGCAAACAGGAUUAGAUACCCUGGUAGUCCACGCCGUAAACGAUGAGUGCUAGGUGUUAGACCCUUUCCGGGGUUUAGUGCCGCAGCUAACGCAUUAAGCACUCCGCCUGGGGAGUACGACCGCAAGGUUG